Molecule: long non-coding RNA, 2679 nt
Organism: Cebus imitator (Panamanian white-faced capuchin)
Lineage: Eukaryota; Metazoa; Chordata; Mammalia; Primates; Cebidae
Exons: 2
Source: RefSeq, a predicted model, not a curated record
GAGAAAGGAAAAAGACAGGUUUUUGCAUAAAAAUUGCAAAACAUAGAUUUGAAUGGAGAUCUAUCCUCUGAAUAUUUACUAUGUCUAGGGGGAAAAGGGCUUACCAAGUCCAGAAAAGUAAACAGGAAUGCAAGUUGGACUUUUUAUUUGUCUUAGCUAAUUCAAGCUCCAGGGAAAUGAACGUGGUUAAUAAUGUGGAAAUUGGCUGUAAAAGAGGUUAGGACAAAAAUAAAAGGAUGGUGACCCAAUCUGUGUCCAAGUACACAGUCAGAAAAUGGCUCAAGCUUCCCCUUUCUGGGCUUUGAAACCAUCGACAUCUAGCCCCUACCGGCAGUUCACGUAAACCUCUCAGAAGUAACUGACAGUUGUUGAGGCUUUGAGAAGACUUCUGAUGCUUUGGGAAAUAAUUCCCUUGACUUAGGGUGACUGCUUUUCUGAGCUUUUCACUCUUACUCAGUAACUUAAGUUAGGAGGAGAGAAUUUUGAGAAGUGAUUUAAAUGGGAAUGCAAAUGAUAAUCAUGGAAGCCAGGAACAUAGAGUACCAAUUACUAUUGGCUCGAAAUUACAAAAAGCCAAAAUGUUUUCUCAGUGAACAUGCUAACAUAAUGUGUCAAAGUAAAUGUCUUGUUAAAUGUCAAACAAGAAUAAUCAGAAAACGUUACUCUUUUUCCAUUUUAUUAUUAAUAGGCCCAAUUUGUGAUAAUUAUCCGUAAAUGCUGGAAGAAGAGAGGAUUAGCAUGUGCUCCUCAAAGGGACUAAACGACACUGGGUUCUUCUUGAGGUGUCAAGUUCCUUUAAAGUGAAGCUACAGUGACGCAUUUAGUGUGGAGCAGCCAUAGGCAGAGAUUUCCUUAUAUACGACCUCCUUAAACUCUUAGCUGUUGAAUAGCAGAGGUAGGAGUGUUUAUGUAAUUGAGUUAUUCUUAUUGGGCUGAGAAAACCUACACUUGUUUGAACUGCUUUCUGGGAAGAGAGAAGGGGAGGGAAGCCCCUGUCCGCUGGAAACUAAAGGAACAGAGCAAAGGCAUUAUUCUAGUGCCUCGGGAUGUUCUGUAUUCCAUCUAAUAGUACACUAACAAAAAGAUAAGUUCCUGAGAACAAUUCUGAUUUUGUAGUUCAGUUUAGUUACCUGGUGAUGAAGAACUGGAAUAAAUGUGAGGAACAAACUAUUGGGACAAAAUAGCAGAGAGCAGAGAGUUCAGAAAUGAGGACAUUUGCGCUUGUUUCCUUGCUGGGCUUGCAUGUGGAGUGACUAUGCCUUUUUCACCUUCUGAUUGGUUGGAUUCCAAUUAAAUGGUGGUGACUAUCUUAACCCCCGAAUCAAGCACUGAAAGACUUUCGAGAUGGCCUUUCAAAAGAGUGUUUGAGGGAACUGUAAUGCUGGCUGUACUGACCUGCAGAAGAUGGUGCAACUGGGUCUGAAAGGUGAACACUGCUGCCUCCGGACCGCUGUCAAAGCAAGAAUAUCACUGUGAAGCAGGCUGAAAGAAAAGCUCUAAAGGGAAAGCUAAGACAUUUUAAUGAGGACUAUGCUUCUUUCUGCUAUAAGAUGGUGGUUUUAAAGUUUAAAGGGACCUGCGUUGCUCUGUGAUUCUGUGCUGGGAAGCCAAGCUCACCACACCUCUUUUGGGUUACAGGGAUACUCACUCCCGUACUCUGAGCCACAGGGAGAGCUGUGCAGGCAGCCACUGCUGAAACAGGAGGCAGUAUUAAUUUUGAAAAUGAUCCAUGCUGUAAUGUCAUGAACCAGGAAGCUGGAAUCCUUUAGCAGUUCUUUAUGCAAAUAUUUGGCUGCAGCUUGAGCUGAAGGACUUGGAAAGAGUGGGUAUUAAAAAAUCUGCCUCAUUGUAGAGCUUUCCUUAACCCCAUUCCUCCCCCAGAUUGGCCUGUUUGUCUGCCUCCUCCCCCUGUUAUCUCCCUGAGAUGUGUUUACAUUAUCCUACUUGAUAUUAUCUUUCUAGUCAUGGGUUCACUUUCUACUUUGCUCCAAUAACACAAAGAAAGGCACCUCUCUCUUAGAUUUCAAACAGCACGAAAAUUCACAAUCUACAAUUUAUAAAAAAAAUACAUCAAGCCUGUUUAAAAAAUUAAUGCUUUAAAAAAAGAAAGGUAAAUGAUAUCUUUUGAUAAUGACUAACUCAAGUUUCCUUUUACCCUAAAGGCAAGUGUGUGUGUGUGUGUGUGUGUGUGUGUGUGUGUGUGUGUAUGUGUUUGCAAAUUGAUCUGGCUGAAAUAAGUUUUUUAAAAUCAAGUGUUUCAAUCUGGCAUAUACACAGUUUCUCUGGCACUGCUUGAAGAAUAUUUGAAUUCUUCACUGAAUAUCUGUCUCAACCUAUAACUUCCAUUCAUGAUUGCCUUCUUAAAAUUUCAAUUGUGGAUACCACUCUGACUUUAUAACAAAUUAAGAUAGAUUUCUUGCUGCUUUGUAGUAUUUGAUACAAUUAAUUCUCUCCUUGGCUUAAAGUUAUCCAGAGGCAUCCUUAAACAAUUGAACAAAUUGGAGAUCAUCUCUGUUAUACCGGAAAGGUCUACAAAGUGGGCAUAAGUCAUCCCCUCGCACCUGCUACCCUUGCUUACUAAGUACGCUCUCACAGCUUCCUUAGAAUCCCAGAUCCUUCCAAUGGCUUCCAGUGAGGGACUUUACAUUUGGCUCUUGUAAUUAAAUUAUAUGCAUGUUA